UACAGAGGUCUCGAGCGUUAGGCGGAAUCAUUGGGCUUAAAGCGUGUGUAGGCGGACUGGUAAGUACCUUGUGAAAUCCCACGGCUCAACCGUGGAACUGCUUGGUAUACUGCUUGUCUUGUGCAACCUAGGGGCGAGCGGAACAAAUGGUGGAGCGGUGAAAUGCGUAGAUAUCAUUUGGAACGCCAAUGGUGAAAACAGCUCGCUGGGGGUGCACUGACACUGAGACACGAAAGCCAGGGGAGCGAACGGG
RNAcentral lists this ribosomal RNA (253 nucleotides) under uncultured bacterium. RNAcentral describes it as "partial 16S ribosomal RNA". It matches the Rfam family "Bacterial small subunit ribosomal RNA", at positions 524 to 776 of the family's 1533-position model. The record is from RNAcentral.